This is a long non-coding RNA of Acinonyx jubatus (cheetah), 1909 nucleotides long. RefSeq lists it as uncharacterized. The record is from RefSeq and is a predicted model, not a curated record. The transcript is spliced from 2 exons. NCBI's taxonomy places the organism in Eukaryota, Metazoa, Chordata, Mammalia, Carnivora, Felidae.
GAAAUGCAAUUGGGAAAGAAUUUCAAGAAAAUAAGGAUAAAGGGCUAGGAGGGCUGACAGGAGGGCAAGAAGGAGGGAGGAAAGGAAGGGUUUUGGGUUUUUAAUUCCCUGGCGAGGCUGCUGGCGUCCGCGCCCUUAACGCCACAGCCUUCCAAGUUGAGGCGAAAGCCACCUCCUCGGGCCUGCGUCGCAUCCAACUUACUCCAAGUUUUCUGGUGACUCCUACAGGGCCCCUUUCCGUCCCCGCCCCCCCCCCCCCCCCCUUAGAGAGAUUGACAGUCGCGUGGAGGAGGCUUUUCCAGGCACAGCCUUUCUCAUGGUAAUCAGCCCCCAGCAUCACCUCCCGGCUGCGGCCGCUCCCGCUCCUUGCGCAGCUCGCGGACCCCAGGGACCGGAAACGGGGCGGCGGGCGGGGAGCAAGCUAGCUAGCGACCCAGGCUCAACUCCGAAUGGAUUGGAUUGCAAGUUUGCACGUGAGAAAACCGUUUGGCUUGGCUUGGACCCCUGCCGCCCCCCCCCCACCCCCUCCACACACACCCCAAUCCAGGGGUCUCCUUUAUCACCCUUUGCUUGCAACUCUAAAAGAAGUUGCCCACCUCCUGCGUAACAACCCAGGGUUGAAAUAAUUCCUCUAGAUGAAAGAUCAAUUCCGUUUUCAAAACGAGAAUAGUUUCCUUUUUUUAAAUUUUCUCCACAUGGUACAAAAUAAACAGAAUUUGCUUUAAAAAAAAAAAUCAUUAGCUGUGGCCAAAUUCGAAUUCCUUCUACAGCCUGUGUGUUCAAGGGCAGAAACAUUGUAUCUCUUUGGGCUUCUGGGCCGGCAAGCGGAGCUGGGGGCUUGGGGGGUUGGAGGGGGGGGGGAAUCUGCUGUGAAAGUUGAGGAAAUUGACAGACUGUGAGGUGAAGAGGGGGACCGUCACCAGGUCCUGGCUGAAGGAAAUUGGAAAACAAAAGUGCAUCUUCUUACCCUGACUGGGUGGAGGGAAUCCUGAGGGAGGCAGUUUAUUUUACUCAAAGAAACCCUAAAGAAUUGUUUUUCCUCCCUCCAGUGUCGAUUGCAAUAUUAUUUCAUAUUUACAUGUAUCUGUUGUUUUAAUCCCCUUCGUCUGCGCUAAUCUCGAAAUGGAUUAUUAAUGGGGAAGAAAGAUCGGGAAGGAACGAUUCAUUUGCAGGACUUGUUUUGCUGUGUGAGGAGACGAAAGCACCAGUCCUCUCUCGACUUUUCCCUGCGCCCAGCCCUCCUGCAUCCCGCUGAUCCCACGAUCACCAUUGUCCCCGACCUGGCCUUCGGACUCAGGGAGUGUUCGGAACAAAUUUAUAUUCGGCUUCCUCCCGUCUCCCCGCCAGUGCGUCGGUGGGAACUCUCGGUCAAAUGAGGAGGGGAGUGCCAGGGGCGUGCCAGGCAGGGGCGGGGGGCAACCUGCCCGCGCGCUCACCCCUCGCAGAGACCCUUCCCUUGCCCUCAUCCCAACAUACACCUUAAUGGGAACCUGAAAGAUUGCUUUUUUACCCCAAACCAAAUACUUGAAAGUCGGAACUCCCAGUGCUAAGUGUUGGGGCUGCCUCCUGCCACUUGAACAAUUACUGAGCCCACAGUAAUCAGAUGAUUAGGUGUUUUUAAUGGAAAUACUUCAGUCUUUUUUUUUUUUAAGUCAGAUCCUAAGUAACCUGACACUAAUAUACAUAAUAAAGACAAGUGAUUUGUUAGCCCUUCUCUGAGAUCCUUUGACCUGAGGUUUUUGCCUGUGACUGUGUGUCUGAGACUGUAACCCUCCAAGGACUACCUGGGCUCCAGCAGUGGGGUCUUGCCUGGAAUCACUCCUUUGCAGUGGGAUCCUUCUUCCACGGGAAUGGGAGAGGAGAGGCUGAAGAGCAAACUUCUAGAGAAAGCUGGAUUCCAUUUUUUUUU